UCUUCCCUCUCGCGCUAGGCUUAACACAUGCAAGUCGAGGGGCAGCAUGGUCUUAGCUUGCUAAGACUGAUGGCGACCGGCGCACGGGUGCGUAACGCGUAUGCAACUUGCCUCACAGAGGGGGAUAACCCGUCGAAAGACGGACUAAUACCGCGUACACUCUAUUUUGGGCAUCCAAGGUAGAGGAAAUGAAAUUCGCUGUGAGAUAGGCAUGCGUCCCAUUAGCUAGUUGGUGAGGUAACGGCUCACCAAGGCGACGAUGGGUAGGGGAACUGAGAGGUUGAACCCCCACACUGGUACUGAGACACGGACCAGACUCCUACGGGAGGCAGCAGUGAGGAAUAUUGGUCAAUGGGCGAGAGCCUGAACCAGCCAAGUCGCGUGAAGGAUGACUGUCUUAUGGAUUGUAAACUUCUUUUGUAGGGGAAGAAAGAGGGGCACGUGUGCCCCAGUGAAUGUACCCUACGAAUAAGCAUCGGCUAACUCCGUG
Molecule: ribosomal RNA, 490 nt
Filed under: uncultured bacterium
Lineage: Bacteria
Description: partial 16S ribosomal RNA
Rfam family: Bacterial small subunit ribosomal RNA
Source: RNAcentral